GGACAGAGAAAGUAUAUAUUUUACCAUAAUUGUUAUAGCCCGUAUUUUGUACGUUCGGAUAAUUCGAGAUAGUUGUGAGAAAUUAAGGGCAAAGCUAUAUUUUGAUCUUGUUUAAUACACAAGUUGGUUAUGAAUAUUAUUUAUGAAUAUUAGUAGUAUGAAAAUAUUGAGAAAGGCUAAGGGUAAAAAGGGAAAUUCGCAAAGUGGCUCAUGGUAAAAUUGUGGAAGGCUAGGGACAAAAUGGGAAUUUCACCAACAAUUCAAGAAAAUUCUUGAAUGGUCCAUCUCGGCCAUGUGGCCGUCCAAGUUGAGGUGGGCUUGGCCCACAUGGAUGAAUUAUAUGUAUGCAUAUAUAUGACAUAUUAGUCAUAUUCUCCACACAAAACUCUAGAACCUUGGAGAGAAAAAAAAAAAAAAAAAAAAGAAAGAAGAGCAAGGGAAUUCGGCCAUAGCCCCCAAAAAUUCACCCCUUGAAAGAUUGAUCAAAAAAAUUAUUUCUUCUAGUAUUCCAAGCAAUUGGAAGGUCCUCUUUAAUAAGGAGUGGUUGUUGGAGCAAUAAAACCAUUUAUUUGUGCAAGUUCACAACCUUAGCCAAAGUCAAGAAGUUGAGUGAAAAAGACUAGCAAGUUUGGACAAAUAAGCGUAGCUAGUUGGACGUGGAACAGGUACACCCAGAUGAGUAAAGAACAUUGCUAGAAGAUGCUUUAGCUGGAUUGGCAACUCCAUUUGCUCCUGGAGUGUUGCCGAGUCAGAGUAUACGUGCUAUGAUGUUUUGUUCGAAGUUAGAGACUUUGCAGAUAGAGUCGUGGGUAUAGAAUGUCAGUUUUGUAAGUGGCUCCAUCAGCCGAUAUGUCAUUCUGUGUUAUGUGACAAAUUCUACAUGAUUAUAGAUUUUGUUUGAUUUGAGAAUAACGAUGAAAAGAAUAUUUCUGAAAGCUGUACUAUGUAUUUCAUCUUUAUUUGAUUUAAAAGUCCAAGAAGAUUAUGUGUGCACUAAGGGUCUGAGGGUUCGCUCGGCCCUAAGUAAGGGUCGGGUGCCCAUCACACCCUAGUAAGA
Molecule: long non-coding RNA, 1057 nt
Organism: Lycium barbarum (goji berry)
Lineage: Eukaryota; Viridiplantae; Streptophyta; Magnoliopsida; Solanales; Solanaceae
Exons: 3
Source: RefSeq, a predicted model, not a curated record